This 7838-nucleotide long non-coding RNA is filed under the name Xyrichtys novacula (pearly razorfish). Lineage: Eukaryota; Metazoa; Chordata; Actinopteri; Labriformes; Labridae. The record is from RNAcentral.
CAUUCAGAGCCCCUAAUGCACGCUUUCUGCAUAAAUGCUUCACUGCAAGUCCAAACAGAACAUCAUAUCUCACCAUCUCAUGAUAUCAAGCUGCCAUGCAUUACUUUCUCUCCAUUAAAGAUGCACAUCCAUUUGCUUUCCGGUCGUGGACCGAGGAUUCUAAUGAUGGUCGCAUCAGUGCGGUCCUGAAGUUACCAAAUCGAGUCACUUGGGGAGAAUUUAAAUCAGCUUUGAGUCAAAUUAGUCUCAUCUAAAAGAUAAACUUAUGGACAGUUUUCAUAAUUUCCUUUUAUAAGUCUUUUAUUUUUACUUAUAGAGUCAUGAAUAAAUUUGUAAACCACUAAAUUAAUCCCAUCUACUCAGAAUUGAGGGCCAACAGAGAAGGCAACAUGUGACAGUGUUCCUUUAAAAAAACAAACCCAGAACCUUUCCACUCCAUCCGUCUGUUUAUCCAUCCAUUCAUCCAUUUAUUCAUUUAUCUGCUCAUCCAUCUGUCUAUUCAUCCAUUGAUCUCAUAUUCAUCAUCCAUCCAUUCAUUCAUACAUUUAUCCAUUUAUUCAUUUCAUUCGUCCAUCCAUCCAUCCAUCCAACCAUCUAUUUAUCCAUCCAUCCAUCCAUCCAUCCAUGCACCAAAUUAUGUAUUCAUCCAUCCAUCCUUAUGUCCAUAGGUCUAUCUGUCCAUCUAUCAAUUAUUAAUUCAUUCAUCUAUUUGUCAUUUAUCCAUUCAUCAACCCAUCAUCUGUUCACCCCUUUAUAUAUUCAUCCAUUAAUUUAUCAUUCAUCCUUCCAUCUUUCCUACUAUUCAUCUGUCCAACAAUCUGUCCAUCCAUCCAUCCCUUCAUCCAUCCAUCUAUCUAUUAAUCCAUCCAUCCAUCCAUCCAUCCCUUCAUCCAUCCAUCUAUUAAUCCAUCAGUACCUCCAUCCGUCCAUCUAUCCAUCCAUCCAUCCAUCCAUCCAUCCAUCCAUCCAUCCAUCCACCAAUGCUUGUAUCCAUCCAUUCAUCCCUAUGUCCAUAGGUCUAUCCACCCAUCCAUCCAUCCAUCUCUCUAUCAUCUUCACCCCUUCUCUAAUCUGGUUUCUGGAGGUCCUGGAUCUUCUCCCAGCUGAUGUUGUUUAUGAGGUGGGUCACAUCCUGGACUGUCCAUCUUCAGCCUUUUUCAGAAGUUCAAACAAACACAAAGACAAACAUAAAAAAUGUGAACAGAUUAUUUUUAUUAACUUGUAAUCGAUCAUCACUCCUCUUUUUUGGUACAAACUUCACUUCCCUUCAAAGAGUUGCAGAUUAAACGUCACAUUUGAGAAGUUAAUUUGUUGUUUAAAUGUUUUUCCUCUCACUCCUGGCCUCGGCUCUGCUGUCUAUCUUGUGUAAAAUCACCAAUUUUGUGCGUUUUCCCUUCACUCCAAUAAUAGCUCCACUCAAAGAGAGCUUACAUUAAAUAUUUAGAUAUGCUUCCAGCAGUUUUGGGUCCUUCUUUGCACGACAUCCAAACAGUUUUUGAGUGUGUUUUAGUGUCACGUGCUACUUUCACCAUGCUCUGUGAUCAAUUAGACAUCUGAUGGUAGUAGGCAGGUUUUCUUAAAGGGACACAAAGAUAAUUGAAGUUUUAGAAAGUCUAUUGUUGCAUUAAAUAGUCUAGCUGACUGAAAGUUAGAAAUGAGUUGUGGUAGUAUUCUGGGCAGGCCAUUGCAGGACUUAUGCAUGCACUCUCAGCGUUGGUUUUUCCAUCUGCUUUAAGCCGAAUUAUUGGAUUAUUGACCCUCAAGCUUCCCCUUUUGAAAAAGUGCCAUCAGAGACAGAACUUUCCUCUGAGGGUCCCCUUCUCUAAUCAUAGGGUCCCAUGUUAAUAUCCAUUCGCCCGCCUCUUACAUGUGACCGGCCUCUCUCUCUGUGGUUCUUACGCUAGCUUUGAUCUGCACGUUAAAAAGUCUCAUUCGAACACAUUCCUCUAAUUGGCGUCCUGUUUUCACAUUAGUUUAAAGGAGAAACUUGAACCCGUGGAGUUUCCAGCGAUUAAGGACAAAGACCUUUGCAUCUUUGUCAGUCACACUGGGCCACUUGUAAUGAGAGAGUGAACAAGUCUCCACCAAGCUGAUUACCGCACAAGCCUAUAAUCUGUGAACAUCUGCAGCUCGACGAGGCUGUCGCCGCUGGUCUCCACACUGUGAGAAAUCUGCCAAUCGCAGAUUUGUCUGCGCUCGCCGUGGAGAAUUACUGCAGUUUGGACUCAAACGUGGUCUUGCUAAAUUGCUUUACCCAACCAAAUGGAAAGCCACACUGAUCAGGUUUAAUUCAGAGUAAUCCUUGAGACACAGUGCUAGUGUGACUGGGAUGUAGGACUCUAUCACUCUGCCAAUGGAAGUGCUGAUAAAUGAGGUUUAUCCUUCAGUUUGAGUACAUUUAUUUAAGGGCUGUUUUCUUUCCUUGCACUCCUCUGAAGUCUUUCCACUUUGUGCCACUUUGCAUUUCUACUUAUUUACAUAUCAGAUAAAUAAAAAGUUUUUCUCUGUGUAAUUUCCAUUUCACAGCAGUUUAAAGUCCCCUUCUAGCAAAGAUUUAACACAAAGCAUAUGAUUACUGAUAAAAAAAAAUUGUGAAUUCUGACAAGAAAGUACUUCUAUCAACUUUUACAGCCUAGUGUGCAAACAGGAUCAUUUUAUCUGGUUUUCUGAUAUGCAGCUAUUCUCAAACUUAAUUAUUUCUGGGCUCAAUUUGAAAUCCACUAAACCAUAAAUCAACCAAACUUGAUAAACCAGGAUUUCAAUAAAGCAUUCAACAGCAUUUCUUUUUGUGUCACUAGGAAAAUUAGAUGUGAAAGUUAUCCAUCCAAGUCCAGUUAUUGAACUUUGGAAUUAAAACUAAAAAAUUGGCUUUUUUCUACAUCAGAUGUGCUUUUGAGUCCUGUUUCCAUAUGCAUGCCAGGCCAGCAGGUGACGAUCGUGUGUUAGCAGUCUGUCAAAUCAAAACACUAAAGAGGAACAUUGUACACAUGCCUAUAGAGUCUUCAUAAGCAAUAGCCAGUCAGAGACAGUGAUCCUUAUAUUGUGGAUGGAUUGGUGGAUUAAAAGCUUUUAAGUGUGAUUCAUUGAUCUGCUUCCAUGCUGCUGUAUCCUGAAGAACAGGGAGGUUAACUUUAUUUUUUUUUAGUGACCUAAAAUUCAGAAAUCAAAUAUUAAAAUACUACUUUUAUUUCAAAUAUGUCCCAAACUUCUGCCACCUCAGUAACCAUGUUUUUAAAAAUCUUACUGACACAUUUAACAACCUGAUAAAUAUCGUUUACUUUAGCCUUGCUCUCUUUAUAAAUAUGUAAAUUAUAUUCUUUUGGCAGCUUUAGUUCACUAAUUUGCAUUUCAUGUCUCAUGAGACAGAAUCUCACCCAAACUGAAAGGUAAAGAGUUUAAGUUGUGGUUGUAUGUGGUGCAAACAGGAACUAUUUUUUGUCCAGUAAGCAGCGGAAACACAGUUUUCUUGCUAAUAUCAGAAAGAGGCAGCUGGAGAUCACAUUAGCUUAGCUUGUAGCAGAGAGACAAGAAUCAGGGCCCAGACUUGAACCAUUUAAAAAGACUUUUCUAUUGAAAAUGGGUAAGUUAGGGAUCAAAAAACUUUUUAAAAACAUUCUAAGUGCAGUUAUCAAUGUAUUUGGAACAAGCAGAAAGUUAUCAGGGCUAAAUGAAAUCAUGCUAAAGUUAGCCUCUGUGAACCUGCGUUUAAAAGAUUUUAGGAGUGUUUUUUUCCCUCCAAAUUCAUCACUUUGCCGGAAUUUAAAGCUCCUGUGAGGAACUUUUUGCUUGUGUCAAAUCUAAUGCCCCCCUGUGGACAAAAAUGUCUUUGCUUAACUUUCUUCAUCCUUUAAUAGCGUCUCAUAAUAGCAAGUUUUGACAGUGAAAUAUAUUUAUUUUGAAUAUUCUAAGCAGAAGUCAUAAAAAGGGGAUGGUUUUUCAGGAAAUUUCUGGUCAUCCUUAACAGUGACGUGGAUAAAACUAUGGCAUUAUAGAAAUGUCGAUACUGAAACAUACAGCAGCUUUUUGGACAUUCAAAACUGGAAUAACAGGAUGAAAUGAAACAUCUUUUUUUAUAUAUUUAACAGUGUGAACACGUGCUUGGCUCAGCUGUGAGCUGGACUCCGGUUAAGGUGCUUCACUUGCAGUUUUUCCCAGGUUUCGAACACACAGCGGCUCAUUGUUGGAGCGAUUCUUCAUCCUCACUCGGUGCGCGAAUGAGGUGAGCUGCUGUAAGCUACGCGCUCCUGUGACUGUUAAGACUGUGCCAUGCUGGCAGACCAAGUGAGGCAAAUCCAGUAUAUCCCAAUUAUACAGCGGAGCGCUUUACUCCACUUACUGAACUAAGUGCAUUACCCACUAAUCAGUGCCUGGCUGUACUUGUUGGAGCAUGACCUUCCUCAUAUUCAUGCCAAGGUAAGAGCUGCUGGCAAAUCAGCUCUAAUUUCACCACCACAGUGAAUUCACAUUAUACAUGCAAAUUACUACGUCUUAUUCAUUAUUUAGAAAAGGUUUUCUCUCUCCAACAAACCAGCUCACAUUAGCAUAUAUGCUGCUGUAAAAUAAACAUGUAUGAAUAAAUUUUGAGCUGCGCUUGUGGAGAUUACACUGAAUAUUUCUCACUGGUGCCGUGUCCUUAAACUCGAACACAGCACAUCUCUUUAUACAAUGGAUAUGUUGAGCUUAAUGGCUUGUGAGGCAGGAGGACAUUUUUAUUCAUUUGGAGUCUGUUUUUGACCAACAGGCGAAAAACUCCACUGAGUGCUCUAGUUUGAUGUUCUGCUUUGAGUUGCUGCUAAAGGAAAUAGUUUACAGAGAGUUUUAGAAGUUAAAAGUUGCUGCUCAACAGCUAAAUGAUGAGAUGAAACUCACUGAAGCUCUACAGACUGAGAGGAAAGGCAGAUCUGUUUGUUUGUUUGUUUUUGUUUGAUUUAUUACUUUGAGGGAUUUUUCACAUUUUUCAAGGUUAUGUACCGCUGAAUGUUUCAAAAUCAACAUUAUUGUGUGUUUUUUGCAGGUCACAUUCCAGUCUGACCAUCUAUACAAUAUGCAAUUUGCAAAAAACAAUAAAAUGGGUCUGUGCAACUCUAAAUAUAUACGUAUAUUGCAAUUAUUUUUCUUAUCCACAACAUGCAUAUCUAUAAAAACAAACUAGAUAAAUGUAGUGUAGCAACUUGAAGUGCUCAGAAUGCUUAAUAAAACAAUUAUCCAAACUAUUAUUUGGAUCUCUAUGUCUAUUUUCCGCCUUCAAAUCAAACUCCACAACUGCGUCCAGUCCUCUGCAGCAGCUCAAACACCUGCACCGAGAACCAGGGGGACAAGAAGAGGAGCAUAUGGUCUACGGGAAGAGCGACGUGUUAUUGUUUAAAGUGUACUGAUAAGUGUAACAGACAUACCUGCCAAAGCCUGCAGCAGGAAGAACACACCUCCUCUCUGCUUCAUGUGCAUAUCUGGAAAUAAAGCACGUCUGUUUUUAUUCAGUUUGUUGCUCAAAGUAAAAAGAAGUCUGAGGAUCUUGGGGUCUUCUUGAAAGUGCACGUUGUGACUGACCAGUCUAUCUACGUUCUCACCCUCAUCUUGGGUCAUGAUCUUUGGGUUGUGACUGAAGGAGUGAGAUAUCAAUACAGUAUACAACCAAAUUAAGUUUCCUAUAAAGGGCGACUGGACUGGAGUGGUUGAUGCUCCUUUGCACCAGGAGGAGUCAGCUGAGGCGUCUCAUUAGGAUACCUCCUGCACGCCUCCUUUUAGAGGUGCGCCUAACUGGUAGGACGCCCCAGGGCAGACCUGGAGCUCAAUGAGAACGCCUCAGGAUCCGCCAGGGGGAGCAGGAAAUCAUUGCUGGGGGAGAAAUUGCUCGGAAGUGGGGUUAACUUGCUGCCUUAUCAACCUGACGCUGGAUAAAUUUAUGAAAAUCUGCAUCUAAAUCAGCGCCUUCAGGAUGACUAGUUCAGGUUAUAUCUCAAAUGUUGAAUUUAUACCCAAACUGAAAAGUCAAGCAGCUCUUUAUCUUGAUGUUUUGAGCUUCUUGUUACAUAACAGUGACUAUCUGCUCGCUAAAACCUGAUAUUUGACUCAGGUAUGCACCUAAAAAUGUCCAACAGAAGUACCUUAAACUUUAUCUUUGCUCUCAGUAGGAGAGCUCGAUCUGUUCUCUGCUGUUGUUUGUUCUGUCCUGAAGCCAACAGAGAGACAUCAUGUUUUAUUUUGACAGUACGAGAGUCUCUUAUCACCUGAUACCUGUCAGAUGAUUCUGGUUAAACAGGAGGUUUUGUCCCAGUGUGGUACAAGGAAAUGUUUGACAAGUAUUCCAAGUAUAUGUUGCUCGACAACAGGAGGGUUUAAAACUAUAAAAAGUAUGCCUCUGAAAUGUCAGAAAUCACUUUGGUUUGUCUGUUUCUGGUCCUUGUAUUUCUCACACAUGUACCGGCUCUAACAGGAAGGUACAGGUUGAAAAUGAAACAAGAGGAAAAUUUCCGUGCCUCCUUUUUGCCCUCACUUAUGUCAGUUGCGUUCUGGUUUUUCCGCUUACAGUCUAAAUACUUCCAGCGGAAUCCAAAAAUCGGAAAUCUGACUUAAUGUGGAUUGAGUUACGGCCGGUAACCUCUCAGCAACCCCCUCAAAGUUUCAUGAAUGCUUUUGGGAAAUCAUCUGGGGCAAAAAGUCUCUCUGGAAUCUCUGGCUAUCUGGGACAACCUAAAUCCUGCACUUAUGAUAAUCCAUCCGUUGCAGCACCAUGUAUUCGGUUGCUGUGACACAGGACUGAACCAAAGCAGAUUUCCUGUGAUCUAAAAAACCCGGAUGGCAUACAGCGAGCCUGAGCCAGGCCCUCUUACGCAAGUCCAGCCAGCUGUGGCUGCUGGGCUGUGCGUGCAGAGAAUGUGUUUACAUAACGCCCAUUUGGGCUUCUUUCUCUUCACACAGCAGGUCCUAUACAAAGUUCAGAGCGUGCAGAGAGGAGGCUUUUUAUUUAUUUAUAUUCAAACUGUUUUUAACGGCAUGUUUUUGGGACACUUUUGAAAGUAGGUCUCUUGGUAGGCAGUUUUUAAAAUCUCAACCUUUACAUAUUUUAUCCUCUGUGUCUCUGGGGUUGAUUUUGAUCUAAAGUACUUUCGAAUAUACCUCCUAAGCUGGUAGAACAAUGUGGAAAUGAAACUUUUUAUACAUCUAAGAGGUGCAGAAUGAGCAGGUUUGUUGCAAAACGUUUUUGGCAAACCAAUUCAUCAAAAAGUUAAGUUGCAGAAUUAAAGCUACUGUAAGGAAUUUUGGGCUAGUUUUAAAACAAACUGAAAUUCACACUGAUGUCUCUAUAUGACCAAUCAAAGCAAGCCAGAUCACUUGGAUAAAGACCAAAUAUUCCAAUAAAGGUUAUUUAUCAUUUUAAAGUUCAUUUAUCUCCCAACUAAGCUAGCAAAAACAGAUGUUUUUAAAUAUUUCUACAACUUUCCCUGAGAGUUGCAUGUUGGACAUCUCUGAUAAAGAUGAUUCAUUUGUCAGAAAAAAACACUACUAUAUGUGCAGGGCAAGUUUAGCCAAAAGACCCUGUUAUCUCCACUGGGGGUACCGAACAUAGCAAAACCCCAAAAGUUUUUAACAGGAGGUUUAAAAUGACAAAAAAACUGAGCAACAGAUCUAUAAAAAUGAUGCAACCCUCCAGAGUUGCAGUACAUUUAAAUUAGAGAAUUAUCACCCAGAUAUAGAAAUCCUUUUGUUUUAGCUAACUUAGAUGUAGUCUUAUUUAAUUACAACAUAAAGAGUGGGUCAUCCUCCACAGAGACUGCCAUCUUGCACCAGCAUGUUUCUAUGGUGACACAGAACAGACUUAUAAUAACGUGUGUUUUGUG